CAAUAGCGUAUAUUAAAGUUGUUGCAGUUAAAAAGCUCGUAGUUGGAUUUCUGGUGGGAGCGAUCGGUCUGGCGCUUAGCGCGAGUACUUGCAUCGUCUCCGGCCAUCCUUGGGGAGAGUCUGUCUGGCAUUAGGUUGUCGGGCAGAGGAUCCUCAUCGUUUACUGUGAAAAAAUUAGAGUGUUCAAAGCAGGCUUAUGCCGUUGAAUAUAUUAGCAUGGAAUAAUAAGAUAGGACUUUGGUACUAUUUUGUUGGUUUGCGCACCAAAGUAAUGAUUAAUAGGGACAGUUGGGGGUAUUCGUAUUCCGUUGUCAGAGGUGAAAUUCUUGGAUUUACGGAAGACGAACUACUGCGAAAGCAUUUACCAAGGAUGUUUGCAUUAA
Molecule: ribosomal RNA, 383 nt
Filed under: uncultured eukaryote
Lineage: Eukaryota
Description: partial 18S ribosomal RNA
Rfam family: Eukaryotic small subunit ribosomal RNA
Source: RNAcentral